GAACGAAGUAGCAAUACUUAGUGGCAGACGGGUGAGUAACAUGUAGGUAUCUGCCCUUUGGCCUGGAAUAACACGAGGAAACUUGUGCUAAUACCGGAUAAGUCUUUACAGAGAAAGCUUUAUGCACCAUUGGAUGAGCCUGCACUUGAUUAGUUUGUUGGUGGGGUAAUGGCCUACCAAGACUUUGAUCAAUAGCUGAUUUGAGAGGAUGAUCAGCCACAUUGGGACUGAGACACGGCCCAAACUCCUACGGGAGGCAGCAGUGGGGAAUCUUGCACAAUGGAGGAAACUCUGAUGCAGCGAUGCCGCGUGAGUGAAGAAGGCCUUUGGGUUGUAAAGCUCUUUCGUCGGGGAAGAAAAUGACUGUACCCGAAUAAGAAGGUCCGGCUAACUUCGUGCCAGCAGCCGCGGUAAUACGAAGGGACCUAGCGUAGUUCGGAAUUACUGGGCUUAAAGAGUUCGUAGGUGGUUGAAAAAGUUGGUGGUGAAAUCCCAGAGCUUAACUCUGGAACUGCCAUCAAAACUUUUCAGCUAGAGUAUGAUAGAGGAAAGCAGAAUUUCUAGUGUAGAGGUGAAAUUCGUAGAUAUUAGAAAGAAUACCAAUUGCGAAGGCAGCUUUCUGGAUCAUUACUGACACUGAGGAACGAAAGCAUGGGUAGCGAAGAGGAUUAGAUACCCUCGUAGUCCAUGCCGUAAACGAUGUGUGUUAGACGUUGGAAAUUUAUUUUCAGUGUCGCAGGGAAACCGAUAAACACACCGCCUGGGGAGUACGACCGCAAGGUUAAAACUCAAAUGAAUUGACGGGGACCCGCACAAGUAGUGGAGCAUGUGGUUUAAUUCGAAGAUACGCGCAGAACCUUACCAACACUUGACAUGUUCGUCGCGACUCUAAGAGAUUAGAGUUUUCGGUUCGGCCGGACGAAACACAGGUGCUGCAUGGCUGUCGUCAGCUCGUGUCGUGAGAUGUUGGGUUAAGUCCCGCAACGAGCGCAACCCUCACUUUUAGUUGCCAUCAUUAAGUUGGGCACUCUGAAAGAACUGCCAGUGAUAAGCUGGAGGAAGGUGGGGAUGACGUCAAGUCCUCAUGGCCCUUACGUGUUGGGCUACACACGUGCUACAAUGGUAUCUACAACAGGAAGCAAAACAGCGAUGUUAAGCAAAUCCUUAAAAGAUACCUCAGUUCGGAUUGCACUCUGCAACUCGAGUGCAUGAAGCUGGAAUUACUAGUAAUCGUGGAUCAGC
Molecule: ribosomal RNA, 1242 nt
Filed under: uncultured marine bacterium
Lineage: Bacteria
Description: bacterial SSU rRNA
Rfam family: Bacterial small subunit ribosomal RNA
Source: RNAcentral